UACGUAGGGGGCGAGCGUUGUCCGGAUUUAUUGGGCGUAAAGAGCUCGUAGGCGGUUUGGCAAGUCGGGUGUGAAAACUCCGGGCUCAACUCGGAGACGCCACUCGAUACUGCCAUGACUCGAGUCCGGUAGGGGAGUGCGGAAUUCCUGGUGUAGCGGUGAAAUGCGCAGAUAUCAGGAGGAACACCGGUGGCGAAGGCGGCGACCUGGGACAAUACUGACACUGAGGUGCGAAAGCGUGGGGAGCAAACAGG
This 254-nucleotide ribosomal RNA is filed under the name uncultured bacterium. RNAcentral's name for it is "partial 16S ribosomal RNA". It matches the Rfam family "Bacterial small subunit ribosomal RNA", at positions 524 to 776 of the family's 1533-position model. The record is from RNAcentral.